Quercus lobata is the source of this 1263-nucleotide RNA transcript. It is a transcript of the gene named mediator of RNA polymerase II transcription subunit 6-like, with no coding region annotated. Lineage: Eukaryota; Viridiplantae; Streptophyta; Magnoliopsida; Fagales; Fagaceae. The transcript is spliced from 7 exons. The record is from RefSeq and is a predicted model, not a curated record.
UACAGAUGGGUUUUCUCUGUUUCCCACUUUCUCUCAGUUUCUCUUCAGUCGAACCAAAGCUCCUCAAACUACUGAGAGAGAACCCUACGAGUGGGACUAAUAUAUUACCAUGGCGACGCUGCCGGUGGCUGGUGGUCCGGCAAUGAACCCGGAGGUUCUAACGGCGGUGGCUCCGGCACCGGGGACAGACAUGUAUGCUUCAAGGACCAGUUGUGGCUCAACACUAACCCUCUGGACCGAAACUUGGUGUUCGAUUACUUUGCUCUCUCACCAUUCUACGACUGGACUUGCAAUAAUGAGCAACUCCGCAUGCGCUCCAUUCACCCACUCGACCUGUCUCACCUCUCGAUAAUGAACUUUGAAAGUGAUGGCAAAGGGGAGAACUGCCCACGAGCUCAACUAUAUGUAAUGCUGUCUGACUAUCACAGUACGGCAAGAUAGAUUGUGGAUGUGGAAUUUAAAAAUGACAGUAUGAAGUUAUGGAGCCCCAUUUAUUUGUCAUCCGCAAGCAAAAGAGGGAUGGUCCUGAAAAAGUUACACCAAUGCUGACUUACUAUAUUUUGGAUGGUUCAAUUUACCAAGCGCCGCAGCUUUGUAAUGUUUUUGCUGCUCGAAUUAGCCGGUCUCUUUAUCAUAUAUCCAAAGCUUUUACUAUUGCUGCUUCAAAGUUGGAGAAGAUUGGAUAUGUUGAUGUUGAUGAGAGUGUAGCCUUGGAAUCAAAGGUUGCUAAAGAGACAAUUGAUUUAAGGAAGUUAAGCGAAUAGAUCAUAUACUUGCAUCCUUGCAACGAAAGGUAAAGCAUUUUACAUACAGCUGGUCAAAUUAGAUUGAAAAGGAUCAGGGAUAUACAACAUGUGCAAUUUGUUCAAUCAGUUCCAUUCAACUCCAAGCAAGUGUUCGGUACUUUUUUUCUUUUUUAAGUGUUUCCAAUUCCUCUCUCUCUCCCCCCACCCCCUAUUUGAGCUAAGAAGGUAUUAAAUUGGUGUGAGAUGUGUAGGAUUAAUAUUGAUUUUAUUGUUUUAGGUGAUGAGAAGGUUCUUUCUUUUCUUUUUUUGGAUUGAUAAUGAUAGUUCAUAUAUGGAGGUUAAAGUUAAUGUAUAUAGGAGAGGUAUUCAUGUCAAUGGUGGGAUUGAGCGUAUAGUAUCCUUUUGUGGUUGUUGCAUGGCUACUGGAGUAGAUAACUUAGAUCGGUACAAAUAAAAAAAAAAAAUAAAAAAAAAAGGGUUUUCUGGGUUAGCUCCUAUGUUGCUAGUUCGACCCAAA